ACGGCCAUGUCACAUUCAAAACACCGGUCUUGAACAAUCACCGAAGUUAAGCAAUGUCAGGCCCGGUCAGUACUUGGGAGGGUGACCACUUGGGAACACCUGUAGGCUAUUUC
Non-coding RNA from Cordylochernes scorpioides, 113 nucleotides. The record is from the annotation of a GenBank genome assembly. Lineage: Eukaryota; Metazoa; Arthropoda; Arachnida; Pseudoscorpiones; Chernetidae.